AACGAACGCUGGCGGCAGGCUUAACACAUGCAAGUCGAACGCCCCGCAAGGGGAGUGGCAGACGGGUGAGUAACACGUGGGAACGUACCCUUUUCUACGGAAUAACCCAGGGAAACUUGGACUAAUACCGUAUGUGCCCUUCGGGGGAAAGAUUUAUCGGAAAAGGAUCGGCCCGCGUUGGAUUAGCAAGUUGGUGGGGUAAAGGCCUACCAAGGCGACGAUCCAUAGCUGGUCUGAGAGGAUGAUCAGCCACAUUGGGACUGAGACACGGCCCAAACUCCUACGGGAGGCAGCAGUGGGGAAUAUUGGACAAUGGGCGCAAGCCUGAUCCAGCCAUGCCGCGUGAGUGAUGAAGGCCUUAGGGUUGUAAAGCUCUUUCACCGGAGAAGAUAAUGACGGUAUCCGGAGAAGAAGCCCCGGCUAACUUCGUGCCAGCAGCCGCAGUAA
RNAcentral lists this ribosomal RNA (447 nucleotides) under uncultured bacterium. RNAcentral describes it as "partial 16S ribosomal RNA". It matches the Rfam family "Bacterial small subunit ribosomal RNA", at positions 29 to 523 of the family's 1533-position model. The record is from RNAcentral.